UCUAUCCAUGGGUGGGGGAUAACUCUGGGAAACUGGAGCUAAUACCGCAUGAUACCUGAGGGUCAAAGGCGCAAGUCGCCUGUGGAGGAGCCUGCGUUUGAUUAGCUUGUUGGUGGGGUAAUGGCCUACCAAGGCGAUGAUCAAUAGCUGGUCUGAGAGGAUGAUCAGCCACACUGGGACUGAGACACGGCCCAGACUCCUACGGGAGGCAGCAGUGGGGAAUAUUGGACAAUGGGGGCAACCCUGAUCCAGCAAUGCCGCGUGUGUGAAGAAGGUUUUCGGAUUGUAAAGCACUUUCGACGGGGACGAUGAUGACGGUACCCGUAGAAGAAGCCCCGGCUAACUUCGUGCCAGCAGCCGCGGUAAUACGAAGGGGGCUAGCGUUGCUCGGAAUGACUGGGCGUAAAGGGCGUGUAGGCGGUUUGUACAGUCAGAUGUGAAAUCCCCGGGCUUAACCUGGGAGCUGCAUUUGAUACGUGCAGACUAGAGUGUGAGAGAGGGUUGUGGAAUUCCCAGUGUAGAGGUGAAAUUCGUAGAUAUUGGGAAGAACACCGGUGGCGAAGGCGGCAACCUGGCUCAUAACUGACGCUGAGGCGCGA
Molecule: ribosomal RNA, 599 nt
Filed under: Acetobacter orientalis
Lineage: Bacteria; Pseudomonadati; Pseudomonadota; Alphaproteobacteria; Acetobacterales; Acetobacteraceae
Description: bacterial SSU rRNA
Rfam family: Bacterial small subunit ribosomal RNA
Source: RNAcentral